AUUGAACGCUGGCGGCAGGCCUAACACAUGCAAGUCGAACGGUAACAGGAAGAAGCUUGCUUCUUUGCUGACGAGUGGCGGACGGGUGAGUAAUGUCUGGGAAACUGCCUGAUGGAGGGGGAUAACUACUGGAAACGGUAGCUACUACCGCAUAAUGUCGCAAGACCAAAGAGGGGGACCUUCGGGCCUCUUGCCUUCGGAUGUGCCCAGAUGGGAUUAGCUAGUAGGUGGGGUAACGGCUCACCUAGGCGACGAUCCCUAGCUGGUCUGAGAGGAUGACCAGCCACACUGGAACUGAGACACGGUCCAGACUCCUACGGGAGGCAGCAGUGGGGAAUAUUGCACAAAGGGCGCAAGCCUGAUGCAGCUAUGCCGCGUGUAUGAAGAAGGCCUUCGGGUUGUAAAGUACUUUCAGCGGGGAGGAAGGGAGUAAAGUUAAUACCUUUGCUCAUUGACGUUACCCGCAGAAGAAGCACCGGCUAACUCCGUG
RNAcentral lists this ribosomal RNA (490 nucleotides) under uncultured bacterium. RNAcentral describes it as "partial 16S ribosomal RNA". It matches the Rfam family "Bacterial small subunit ribosomal RNA", at positions 30 to 507 of the family's 1533-position model. The record is from RNAcentral.